RNAcentral lists this ribosomal RNA (496 nucleotides) under Nigrospora sphaerica. RNAcentral describes it as "eukaryotic LSU rRNA". The stretch from base 125 to 278 matches the Rfam family "5.8S ribosomal RNA". The record is from RNAcentral. Lineage: Eukaryota; Fungi; Ascomycota; Sordariomycetes; Amphisphaeriales; Apiosporaceae.
CUUAUCUCUUUGUUGCCUCGGCGCAAGCUACCCGGGACCUCGCGCCCCGGGCGGCCCGCCGGCGGACAAACCAAAACUCUUGUUAUCUUAGUUGAUUAUCUGAGUGUCUUAUUUAAUAAGUCAAAACUUUCAACAACGGAUCUCUUGGUUCUGGCAUCGAUGAAGAACGCAGCGAAAUGCGAUAAGUAAUGUGAAUUGCAGAAUUCAGUGAAUCAUCGAAUCUUUGAACGCACAUUGCGCCCAUUAGUAUUCUAGUGGGCAUGCCUGUUCGAGCGUCAUUUCAACCCCUAAGCACAGCUUAUUGUUGGGAACCUACGGCUUCGUAGUUCCUCAAAGACAUUGGCGGAGUGGCAGUGGUCCUCUGAGCGUAGUAAUCUUUUAUCUCGCUUCUGUUAGGUGCUGCCCCCCCGGCCGUAAAACCCCCAAUUUUUUCUGGUUGACCUCGGAUCAGGUAGGAAUACCCGCUGAACUUAAGCAUAUCAAUAGCCGGAGGAAA